UUCAUCAUGCAUUACCCUAUUUUCAGAAGUUUAUCCUGUUAUCUACUUAGUAGAGUAUUAUGCCGUGUAAAUGUGCUUCUUAGCAAUUGCUUGCAACAUUUAAGUCUUUAGAUGCAUUCUAUGCUUGAAGAAUUGCUGUUUCUGCUCUAACACCGUGCUAAUUCUCCGCAGAAAUUGUCCUUGUGGUGUACAGAUAGGCCCAUUCAUUAUGCCCCUUGGAAGUAAAGGAUCAGGAUGGGAGCAGUGUUGCAGCUCCAGUACUUAUCGGUCAUGGUUGUGCCCACAGAGCCUGCUUGGUGCAUCUGCUUCUCCUUGGGGGCAAGACAUUACCCCAGUGCCAUUCUCUGAUGUGUAAGUCUUCCCCCAUCUUUCCCUAGCUGAUGAGUAAUGGCCUUAAGUUGUGCCAGGGGAGUUUCAAGUUGAAUAUUAAGAAACAUUUCUUCUCAGAAGGAGCGGUGAGGGACUGGCACAGCUGUCCCCGGAGGUGGUGGGGUCACUGAUCAUGGGGAUGUUCUAUAGCCAUGGAGAUGUGGCACUGAGGGACAUGGGUUCAUUGCUUUCAGCAAGCUCUGUUCUUGCCUUUCAGUGGGACCAUUACCACAGUGCAACCUGUCCUUGCUUUGAGCUGCUCUGCCCCACUGAGCGAUCUGGUUCAGCUCAGAGCUUGGGCUUCUCCACUUUUAUUUCCCUGCUCUGUCUCCUUUCCUAUCUCUGGGAGCUUUGAAUUUCUACCCCUGCCUCACAGCUUGGGUAAUUCCCUGCAAAGGGAUUACAUUUUCAGCGUGUUCACAGCUGUAUGUUUGCUCGGAGCAAGUGCCUCCUGUGACUGCCCAAUUGUGGAGUUUCACUCGAGUGGAACAAGUAAUAAGAGAAAUAUGCAGCUCUCCCUGCCUUCAUUGAGCUUCUUAGGUGGCCAGGAGCAAACAGCGUGCCUCCCUCCUGCAAAGCACUUAACUGGGACCUGGGGCUGUGGGAUUGGAGCUAGCUUUCAGACCCGAAGCCAUGGCCAUGGAAAGGCAGUUUGAAGGAACCUUGAAAAUGAAGUUAUCAUCACCGCUUGCCCUACUGGGACCACUCCAGAUGAUAGCCCAAUGGGUGCAACCUGCUCGAGGUGACACAUAGUCUUGCUUCAAACCCCUGAGUUUAACUGGAACAUUGGCAGAAUAAUGUGAGUCCAUGGAAAUCAAUGGAGAAGAGCCGAAAACAAUUGAUUUGGAUCAAAACACACUGCAAUCAAAUUUGGAGGGAUUGAACUAAUGGAUCAUAAGGUGGCUUGUGAAUGGGUUUGACUGAAUUGAGCUGAAAGGUCUUGCAUCUUCAUUACAGCUAACUGAAACUAGUAUAAAUGAUGAAUUUUCUAACAAUGCUUAGUGGUUUGUUUUUUUUUCUGUACUUGCAACUGGAUUGCAAAGUUGGGAACUAACCUGUAUAUACAGGGGAAUUUGCCAGUCACAGGUAGCUGCAUGUAUUUUGGACAGCCCCGUAGCUGAGUUUCAUACGUCUUGCUGAUUAUGCCUCUAUUUUGCCCUGCUUGGCACUCCCAGAAUUAGCAGCCUGUUUCUCCUGCUUUAUUAUGGCUGAGGUCUCGGAGGAGAGACUGCACUUGGGCUGUGCACUUUCCAAGGUGCAUUUAUUGCUGCAUUUCUUGUUUUGAUGGCAGCAUUUUGGAGCAUCACCUCUUACUCUACCAAAUCCUUGAAAUUCUUUGCCAUUUGUAUUACUCGAAUGUAAUUCCCCUCUAUAUCACAG
Long non-coding RNA from Numida meleagris (helmeted guineafowl), 1749 nucleotides. Lineage: Eukaryota; Metazoa; Chordata; Aves; Galliformes; Numididae. The record is from Ensembl.